This 133-nucleotide small nucleolar RNA is filed under the name Dipodomys ordii (Ord's kangaroo rat). RNAcentral describes it as "Small nucleolar RNA SNORA31 (ENSDORG00000022544.2)". Lineage: Eukaryota; Metazoa; Chordata; Mammalia; Rodentia; Heteromyidae. The record is from RNAcentral.
AUGCACCUACUUAAUAGACAUAGAGCAAUUACUGACUGCUGUUAAGGUUUCCAUUACAGAUGCCCAAAAAAAGUAUCUCGUCCUUUCUGUCUAUCUCAUGGUGACAGCUUAGAUUGACUAGAAGAAUGCAGAG